AACGAACGCUGGCGGCAUGCCUAACACAUGCAAGUCGAACGAGACCUUCGGGUCUAGUGGCGCACGGGUGCGUAACGCGUGGGAACCUGCCUUUAGGUUCGGAAUAACUCAGGGAAAUGUGAGCUAAUACCGGAUGAUGUCUUCGGACCAAAGAUUUAUCGCCUUUAGAUGGGCCCGCGUUGGAUUAGCUAGUUGGUGGGGUAAAGGCCUACCAAGGCGACGAUCCAUACCUGGUCUGAGAGGAUGAUCAGCCACACUGGGACUGAGACACGGCCCAGACUCCUACGGGAGGCAGCAGUGGGGAAUAUUGGACCAUGGGCGAAAGCCUGAUCCAGCAAUGCCGCGUGAGUGAUGAAGGCCUUAGGGUUGUAAAGCUCUUUUACCCGAGAUGAUAAUGACAGUAUCGGGAGAAUAAGCUCCGGCUAACUCCGUG
Molecule: ribosomal RNA, 433 nt
Filed under: uncultured bacterium
Lineage: Bacteria
Description: partial 16S ribosomal RNA
Rfam family: Bacterial small subunit ribosomal RNA
Source: RNAcentral